CAGGCUUGGAAUUUAACAUCUGAUUUGUACAGCACUGGGGUCUUCAUUCCAGCUGUGAAGGCAACACUAUAUCAGGUGCAUUUUUGGCUGGAUCACUGAUACCACAGGUGACUGGCUGGAGGCCUGAGACAAUCAGGGACUAAAAGUGACACUGAAGAGUGACCAAAUAGUAGCUCUUGCAAUGCUUGUCCCAAAAAGGCCGUUUCAUAGGACGCUCUACAAAGGAAUAAUCCUUUUUGACAACCUUUAAAGGGUCACAGUUGCAUUUAAAGCCCAUGACCAGUAGCACUAUUAAUGGUGUAUUUGCAAAGAGAGGACACACAGAGCAGUUCUUCCCGGGAUAAUGUGGAAGUGUUUAAUCUCUUUUGCACUACAGAAGAGGCUUCUUGCUUGUGUUGAAUGGCUGAAAUAUGAGACUACAUGUUUUCCAUAAUCAUUGAAACAAUAAUGUACCAGCUUCUCCCCAAGCUAAAAAUAAUCCUGUCAUGUGCAUGCCCCUUUUCCUCUUCGCCUUGAUAACAGAAUUCAAAUUCCCAUAAAUAAAGUUCCUCUUUUUUUUUCAUUUUUCAUAGACUUGUCCCUAGCAAAUUUAGUUUCAAGGUCUUUUAUUUCUGUUUCUAAAGUAAUUAUCCUCUGGGCCUCUUCCUUUCUUCCUGGUAUGAUGCUAGACUAAUUAUUCUUCUCCUAAUGAAUGCCUGAAAUGUAUCCCAUAUGGUGGCAUAUGCGCCUUCAGAUGGAAGCUUCGUUUGAAUAAAAUAAGAAAAUUCUUCUCUUGGGGCUUUCUUAAAUUUUUCAUUCUGUAACAAUGAUGAGUGAAAUAUCUGUCUUGGGGAUAGAUGCAGCCAACUUGCUUUCUAUUACACACUGAGCUUUCUCUGAACUGGAGAUUUCCAUGUCUUACUCUCUUGCUGUGGCCAUCAGAGCUCUUUCUCCACACUGUCAAAAAGACUGCUUGAAUGAGGCAAAGCAUCAGUACAACUGAUCUGAAAAACACUCUGUACAUCGUUGUUUCUCUCACAGUUCUUUGUCCCCUUUCUCUGCUCCUAUCCUAUGCAAUACCUACUGAAAUUACCUAUGGAAAACUGCAGACUUUAGAGGUCCUGCUCAUCAAUAUGUACAAGGAUAUGUACAAGUCCCACUUGUGGAUGUGUACAAGGAUAUGUACAAGUCCUGCUCAUGGAUGCGUACAAGCUUCUAUUGAGAGCUGUGCAAUGGAGAGGCUUUUCACUGACUUAUGCAGGAGCAGGGUCCUGGAUACAACUUUCUGCAAGCACCUGUAAGUAAAACAAGUGAGCUCACAUCAAACUAAAAUAUGUCUCACAUAUUUUUUUCCAGCUCUGCCAGCCAAGUUGUUGGCAAAUUCAAUCUUUCUAUUGCUUAAAAUCCAUAGUUUUUUCUAUAGAUAUAAUGUUAAUUCUCUCAUGUUUUGUGUAACUUUUUGUUUUUUAUUUGUGGAAGUACUGGAAUGCUGUGUCCAGUUUUGGAUCCUCAGCACAGCAGGGACAGGAGCUCCUGGAGCUGAGCAAGGGCCUGGAGCAUCUCUGUGCCCAGGAAAGGCUGAGGGAGCUGGGGCUGCUCAGCCUGGAGAGGAGCCCCAGCUGAGAAGAGCCUCAGCCCUGUCACAGAAUCAUCAAGGUUGGAAGAGACCUUGAAGAUGAUCCAGUCCAGCCCCAACACACUGAGCCUGAGUCCACUCAGCAAUCCUCUAGUGGGUAAGAGUGCACCCUCUAACUCUGGAGGUGAUGCAAUGGCCUGGACCAGCCUGACACAGGGCUGUUGAUACAGCUGCAUGAAAGAAAUGCCAAAAUGGAAAUAUUUAUAGACAAAUGAAAUUGAAAUGCUCUUUUAGAAACCACUGAUUCUGCAUGAAGUUAUUUUAGGAGCGUUUCACUUGAAUCAUGCUAAUGGCUUGGGAAAACACAAUCAUUUUAUCUGCUGCAGGUAUUUGAUCUUGCUUUCAGAAACACUGUGGGGAAACACUCCAUUGAUUUUUCAUUGGAACAUUUGAUCCCAGGUUGAUAAAGGACAGUAACUAACUCUGUCACUAUUAAUAUUGAGCUCUGCUUGGAUUUCAAAAACACCUUCAGCAACAUGUGAUUCUGCAGGCAGGGAGAAUGGUAGAAUAGGCAAAAAUGCCUGAUUUUAGGAUGUGCUGGGAGGCCUUUGUUUCUGUUCUAAUGGAGAGAGUAUUUGUCUCUGGGUGGUCUCAGUGUGAGACUAGUAUCCAUUUUGUCCUGUUCUGCAGAGAAUUUUCUGAUACACUUGUGAAGAUUUUUAGCAGCCUAAAGCUGGGAGAGUCCCCAGUGAUCUGCUCAAUAGCUUGUGUCCUCUACCUGACUUUCAAUCACUCACUACAAAUAGCCAAGGGAACAUAAACCAUUUUAGGACAUAAUAAUUUAUCCUUUGCCGAACAGUUAUUUUCUUUUCUUUGCUGACUCAAUGCAGUGACCAUCCAGAAUGCCUAAUUCAGGGUUCAGCAGCAGCUUCUUGUUCAGCUUCCUUAUUAAAAUCCCAGAGUAAUUUUCUAGCAGGGCAGUAUUUGCAUAGAUAAACUCGAUGAAAGACCAGAGGCCAACAGGGCAAGGGGAAGGGGUCAUUUCUUAUUCCCAUCUCAGUACUGGUUGUUCUUCUACUGGACAAUGGUUCUGAACACUCUCUCUAAUAAGAUGUGCUGCUGAAGGUAAUAAAUAACUGGGAAGCUGGGCAGCAGUAGCUUUUCUUAGAAAACCAAGGCAUUCAAUGUUGCCUACUUAAAGUUAGGCCCCUACAUUCAACCUUAAGUACCAAAACAAAUUGCUGUGAUGAUGAAAAACUCCACUUAGCCACAAAUCUAAUUCUGCCAAUGUGAGCUGUGAGUUCUCAGAGCUUUGUAGCAGCAGAGCACUUUGAUCUAUGUAAUCAGAUUUGGCAUUGUGUCUGUGCUUACAUCUCUCCAGGAGCAGCGUUCCAGGACUCUUGUCCAGGCAAUAUCAAGUGCAGGACACUGUCAUUGCCCUAAUAAAAAGGAAAAACUUUCUGUUCUCUUCUCAAGUUAUUUCUUCUUCAUUCGUUGAGCUCCAGAGACAGGAAUUUCAGGAGUUUACUGGAACUAGAGGACAGCUGCAAAAUCAGCAAUACUAAUUCCCUUCAUAGCACUAGCUGCGACCCAACUCUUUUGGGCCCAGAAUUAGGGAACUGUGAUGGCAUUCCAAGCCCAUGUGGAUGUCUGGUGGGAUCUACAGGAUUACUGGAGCAGAAUGUAAACUGGGGAGCAGGAUUACAUUCCUCAGGAAUGAAUCACCUCACCUGCUCUACCCACUAUGAAAAGGCUGUGGGGGCAAGAAUCACAACCUGAUAUUUAUUCCUUUGAAUGUGAUAUUGCAGGAGUAGUUCUCAAAAAAGAAUCAAGUUUUCUUGAAAACCUGUUGCCAGUUUAUCUGCCCUCAGGAACCCAUAUUAGUUACUUAAAUUUAUUUCUGUGGAAUUGGCAUAAUCUUUCUGCCCAACAGAAAAUUCCAAAUUUAUUUCUUAGCCCUUGAGCAGGAUCUAUCUGCAUCACUAAAAUCUUUAGGAAUCUUGAUUUUUAUACUUUCUAUCACACAAAAACAACAGGCUAUGUGCUGGGGUUUUUUGCCUACUACAGGUGUGGCAGGACCCUGAGGGACAAUUUAACCACCAGCCUCAAAUAAAACUCCAAUGUAAGAUGAUAAAGGAAAAAAAUAAAACCAUUCAUGUGCUGGGUGUUACAAACCAAGGGAGAGAAUAAAAUGGAGAGGCUCCUCCCAUUGACCAAUCCCACUUUUUUUAACACCAGUCUAAGGCAGUGACACACUUCAUGGUUGGACUGGGUGAUCUUAAAGGUCUUCUCCAACCUAAAUAAUUCUGUGAUUCUAUAAUUAGACCAUACUAAAAAAUCUGCAAUAUCAUGGGCUUUUUCACAGCUCUGUACCUACAAAAGAGCCUUCUAUUUUUUACUGGUUCUUCCUUGUAACUGCUUAUCUGCUGCGUGUUGGCACCUGCUAAGAAGCAUAACAAGACAAUAAAUCCCAAAAAGCAAAGAAAUUUGGAAAGCUCCAAGCAAUACUACCAAACACCCCAUAAGAUUUCUUUGUCUGACACUUUAUAUUUAAAAAUUAUCCCAGAGCACCCCCAAAAAAAUCUAUUUUACUUGUUUAACAAAAUGGAGUAUUGAUUUGCCAAAGCCUAAACAGAGCAGCCUACAUGAUUCAUUGAUCAUGAAUUUGGGCUCAGUCCAUAUGAUCAUUAAGUUCUUUGUCAGAUGCAUUAAUUUAUUCAUAAGCUUUGUUUAUGGCAGGCCCUUUUCACUGGCUGAUUUCAAAAUAACAAAACCUAAAUGCCUUCUUUACCUUCCAUGUCCCUGAGUACAGAAGACAAAACAGACUGUUCUAUCAACCUCAAAGAUUUAAUGAGCCUUGUGAAGAAUCCAGGAAUGCUAGAGGUUUUCAUGUCAGUCCAAGCUCCAGUACUACUUUGGAACUGUACUUCAUGAGCAUAAAAUUCCCCAAAGAAAGCAACCCCUUGUGCUGCCAUGUGGGGAAUGUGCCCAAAUCUGAGAACAUCAGUAGUCAAACUAUGAGGGACUCCAUAUGUUUUUCCAGGAUUGUCAGGAAAUGCUGGUUGUGUGACAUAAAGCUACUUUUUUGAUGGGCCAGCAUGGCAAUAAAUUGUAUUGGUUGGAAAGUUUUGAUAGUCAGGUUAAAGGAUUUUAAACCAGAAUCUGGUUAACACCCAUGGCUUAACAACAAAUCAAAACCUUUUCGCUUUUCCUUGAUACAUCCUCUUCGAUUUAAAGUAAAGCAACAGGAAGAAAGAGAGUUCUAGAUUCUGGUGUUUUGAACAUAGUACUGUUUUAAAUUCCAGAGCUGGCUGUAGAGCUUAGUAGGCAGGAGAUAUCUACAAUGAAAAAUGAGUCCUCAUAAUCAAUAUCUGAGUAUUUGCUGCACUCCAUUAAUCCUGCAUCAAGAGGUAACACUGCAGCCAUGAAGAAUUUCUUCUAGAGGAGAAUAGGCUGGGAUCUUACACUGAGUCAGGUAGGCUGUGAUAACAGACAGGGUUCAGCAUCUGCCCAAAACACAGGAGAGCUCUUGGAGGAAGUUGGAUAAGCUCUGCUGCCUUUUCCUCAUGGUGCGGGGGUUGAAGACAUACCCAGAGCCAGCUCCCUCCCAGGAUGUUCCCUCCUCACCUUGUCAGAAUUCCAUGGCCAGCCCAUCUCCUUGGCAUGCAGCUGUCAACCUUUGAGCACCAGCCAAUGCUUGGGAAGGAAGAUGAAACACCUUGUGCUUUUCUUGGUCUUGUUUAAAGAAAGAAUAAAAUAGUUCUGCUCUCAAUAA
Molecule: long non-coding RNA, 5330 nt
Organism: Passer domesticus (house sparrow)
Lineage: Eukaryota; Metazoa; Chordata; Aves; Passeriformes; Passeridae
Exons: 3
Source: RefSeq, a predicted model, not a curated record